CCUACGGGAGGCAGCAGUAGGGAAUCUUUCACAAUGGGCGAAAGCCUGAUGGAGCAACGCCGCGUGCAGGAUGACUGCCUUCGGGUUGUAAACUGCUUUUAUAAGCGAGAAAUAUGAUGGUAACUUAUGAAUAAGGAUCGGCUAACUACGUGCCAGCAGCCGCGGUCAUACGUAGGAUCCGAGCAUUAUCCGGAGUGACUGGGUGUAAAGAGUUGCGUAGGUGGCAUAAUAAGUAGCUAGUGAAAUCUGGUGGCUCAACCAUUCAGACUAUUAGCUAAACUGUUAAGCUCGAGACCGUUAGGGGUAACUGGAAUUUCUAGUGUAGGAGUGAAAUCCGUAGAUAUUAGAAGGAACACCAAUAGCGUAGGCAGGUUGCUGGGACGGUUCUGACACUAAGGCACGAAAGCGUAGGGAGCAAACGGGAUUAGAUACCCCAGUAGUC
RNAcentral lists this ribosomal RNA (442 nucleotides) under uncultured bacterium. RNAcentral describes it as "partial 16S ribosomal RNA". It matches the Rfam family "Bacterial small subunit ribosomal RNA", at positions 338 to 795 of the family's 1533-position model. The record is from RNAcentral.